AUAAUACAGCAAGAAGGCCUACACCAGAAGCCAACAUCACACUUUUGGACUUCUCAGCCCCAGAACUGACUUUACCAAAGGGUACAAGAAUGAGCUAACACACUCCAAGACUGUGACAUUUUUCUACGUGAGUCAAGGCUGAACUUCCAUGUUAUUGUCUCCUGUAUACAGAGCAGGAAGCUAAGACUCAAAGAGAUUAAAUAGCAAUUCCGAUCAGUAAAAAGCAGAGCACAGACAUGAAUGAGUUUAUCCUAUUUCAAAAUUAUUAUUCUUUUUUAAAUUUCAUCUUUAUAACUUUUUUAUUUCUAACUACAGAAGUAAGUACAUAAGCAUGACGGAAAAAUUGGAAUAUACAGAAAUGUAUUUUAUAUUUCUUUUCAGUCUCUCUUUCAGAACACACAAAAACACAUGUAGUAUUUCAUCAGGAUCGGUCAUAACAUGUUCUUUCCACUUCUCUACAAAGGUACAGAAUUCUCACCCUCAAGCAGGAAGAACAGCCCCAAGAAUUCCAGGUUGCCAACAGUUUAUUAAUCAAGUGAAAGCAAACUCAAAAUUUUCUCAAGUGAGCUUAUAUUUCACUGUGUUAAUUUUCAGAUAGCCCAUUAUAAUUUAAUAAUACACACACAAGAUUAAUUGAAAUUUAAAAAUAUUUCUGUUUUGUACCUGAUUUCAGAAAUGGUACUAGGGUAUAAUGAAUGUAAAGUCUAACUAAAGAACGAACAAUCCCAGCCACCAAAAAGACAAUCAAUAGAAAUAAAAUAAAGUCCAAUAUCCAAUAUUCAUCCAUUCAUUUAUCAUUCAACAAGUAAUUUUGAGUACCUGUCAUGGGCCAGACUUUGUUUUGGGGCCCAAGGAUAAAACUGUAAACAAAUAGACAAAUUCCCUGCCUUCAGAGAGCUUACACUCCACUAAGGAGAAACUGACAAUAAAUAAAUUGAGAAAAUAUCAGGUUGUAAUAAGUACUGUGGAGAAAAAUAAAUCAGGAUAAAAGGAUGGAAAGUGCUGAGGAAGGAAGUUGCUUUUUUAUGCUAUGUAUUACCUCAGAAUGCCGUAACAAAAUAUCACAGACUGGUUAGCAUAAACAACAGACAUGUAUUUUCUCCCCAUUCUGGAGGCUAGAAGGCCAAGAUCAGGGUUCCAGCCGAUUCCAUUUCUGAUGAGGGCUCUCUUCUGACUGGCUGAUGGCCAAGUUCUUUCUAUAGCUUCACAAGGCCUUUUUUCAGUAUUUGCUGGAGGAGGGAGAGAGAGUGAGCUCUCUGGAUUCUUUUCUUAUAAGAACACUAAGCCAUCGAUAAAGGCCCCACCCUUCUGAUCUCAUUUAACCUUAAUUAGUUCCCUAUUCCAAAUACAGUCACACUGGGUGUUAGGGUUUCAAUAUUUGAAUUUUGGAGGGGUACAUGCCUUCAGUCCAUAACAUACAGGUUAUUCAGAGAAGACGUCCCUGAUAAGAUGUGGUAGCUAACUUUCAGGAUGACCCUCAGUGGGCCUCAUCUUCUGGUGUUCACACCCUUGGAUAGUCUCUUCCCAAAUAAAUUAGGAAUUGGGACUGGUCUCAAUGUGAUAGAGUCAAGGGCUGGUCUCAGUGCAACAGAGUAGAGCAGAGAUUAAGAUAUUUCACCUCUGAGGCUGGGUCAUAAAAGGCACCAAAGCUUCCACUCUGUUUUUUUGGAUCACUCUCUCUGGGACAAGCCAGCCUCCAUGGCAUAAGGACACUCAAACACCCUUGGGAGAAGACCAUGCGGGAAGGAAGUCAGACUUCCCACCAAGAGUACUAAUUUGUCAAACAUGUGAAUGAGCAAGCUUGCAAGUGGAACCUCCAGCCCCAGUAAAACCUUCGGAUAUCUGACUGCAGCUCCAGUUGAAGUUUGAACUCCAACCUCACUGGAAGCCCUUAACCAGAACCACUCUGCUGAACUGAUUCCAAAUUCUUGGCCCCAGAAAAGAUGGUCAAGGACAACAUUGUGUAGUUAUAGAUAAAUGCAUUCAAACUACCAAUUGUGUUUCAAGGUGAUCAAGG
Molecule: long non-coding RNA, 2017 nt
Filed under: Homo sapiens (human)
Lineage: Eukaryota; Metazoa; Chordata; Mammalia; Primates; Hominidae
Description: HSALNT0311008
Source: RNAcentral